Molecule: long non-coding RNA, 261 nt
Filed under: Elaeis guineensis (African oil palm)
Lineage: Eukaryota; Viridiplantae; Streptophyta; Magnoliopsida; Arecales; Arecaceae
Description: long non-coding RNA (EGUI_LNC061363)
Source: RNAcentral
ACAAAUGAGUCUUAGGUUAACUCGAGUCUGGCAGAGUACUUCUUUUGGAAGAAGCAGGGAUACUAGAAGAGGAAUUGUCCUCUGCAUCUUAUUUUUCAUGACCCAACAGGCUAAGGAAGAAAAAUUAGCAAAUAAUUGCUGGACAUGGUGUUUAUAUGAUAACACCUUGUGAUUUCUCUGUCUGUGAUACUACUACCUAGAUAUUAGAUACCAGAAGUCUAAUUUAAAUAUGUAAUUUAUUGCGGAGACUUUAGGUUAGUA